RNAcentral lists this transfer RNA (87 nucleotides) under Thermoanaerobacter sp. Its description in RNAcentral is "tRNA-Leu". It matches the Rfam family "tRNA". Rfam says of the family: Transfer RNA (tRNA) molecules are approximately 80 nucleotides in length. Their secondary structure includes four short double-helical elements and three loops (D, anti-codon, and T loops). The record is from RNAcentral. Lineage: Bacteria; Bacillati; Bacillota; Clostridia; Thermoanaerobacterales; Thermoanaerobacteraceae.
GCGGCAGUGGCGGAAUUGGCAGACGCGCAAGAUUCAGGUUCUUGUGGGCGCACGCCCGUGGGGGUUCAAGUCCCUUCUGCCGCACCA